GUUUUGGUGUGUGUAUGUUGUGUUACGGUGCGGAAGUUCUCCCGAAAUGUUUUGUCAUUCUUGUUUGCUGUGGGUUCACAGUGUGGCGCAUAUUUGCAACAGUGUUAAAGUUGUUUUUACGGCCACCCUCAGUGUGACCUGUAUGGCUGUUGACCAAGUAUGAAUUGCAUUCACUUGUGUUUGUGUGAAAAGCCAUAAAUAUUAUGUGAUUGGGCCGCCACGCAAAGGCAGUGCCCUUAAGGCACGCCCCUUAUAUUGUUGUCUGGGUGGAAAUCGGGAGAAUGGUUGCCCCGGGAGAUUUUCGGGAAGGGCUCUGAUAUUCGGGAGUCUCCCGGGGAAAUGGGGAGGGUUGGCAAGUAUGACUGAGAGACGCAACUUCUCUGUACUUCUCCCUACGUCCGUCUACCACUACGUACAGCGGCGUUUUAAAAAGUCAUCAAUUUUACUUUUCGAAACCGAUAAUUUCCGAUAUUACAUUUUAAAGCAUUUAUCGUUUAAGGGACUGCCGAUAUUAUCGGACAGUCAUGCUUUGCUCCGCUAAGUAAAAAGUGAGAUUACAUUUCCAGAUCACUUCAUUGAAUUUUGCAUAACACCACUAACAAACAAGAUCACCAAGCGAUAAUCUCUGAUAACCUCUUGUCCGUGACCAUUUGUGCUUGGGGGACGUAAUAAAGUAACAGUUCAAUCAAUUAACUCGCUGUUCAAAUAAUAAUAAAAAAAAAAAAACAGCCCUUAAUGAAGGUCCUGAAAGAGACGCUGGACAAAAGUGGGGAGGAGCAAUUAUAAAGGUCUGAAAGUGAUUCUCUACGGCCCGUUUUGAGAUAUUAGAAGUAGACAAAUCUGCUUGUGGCUGAAAGGCCGUGACGAUCAAGCGUGGAGGUAGAAAAAUAUCAGAUGUUAGCAACAACAAACAAGGAUGUUGUUCUCGGGAGCCCAAAGCAAAACUUUGCAACUGGAGUGUGUGUCAGUGCUCACAAACACACACACACACAUUUCCACAGCCAACAGUCUGAUGCUUUCUCCCGCCUUGAUGAGCUAAGCGGUAAACACUGACUGUGUUAGAUCAGUGACUUUGUGAAAUCAAUUAGUGCAGUUUCCUCUUACGCAUUACUUGUAAGGACUGGGAAAAUUGCGAGAGUCGUCGUAAAAGCCGCACCAGAUCACAUGACGGCGUUGUCCUGUGAGUAAACACCGUUGCUGCACCAUCCCCUCGGACGCCGUCCUCAUCCUUUCGUCGAGCUUGAGCGUGUGACAUGAAAUCCUCUCCACCGUGACAUAUGUGAGCUUCCUUCGUUGCGAGCAAAUGAGGGUAUAUAAAAAGAGACUGAGGCUAUGUCUACACUAAGCCGUAUAACCCCUUAAAUGACAAGUUGAUUGGCAACACUAAAUGGUCCCUAGUACACAGUAAAAUCCCCAGUGUUAAAUAUGCAGUGUUAACAUGCAUUAUAUCUAUCAGCGUUAUUACAACAACAGCUGGAGUAAAACGCCCCCCAGUGUUGGUGUUGAUUUCCAUCGUUGAAGAGACAGUGUUAAAGGUACACUGAUUAGCCCCACCCUCCAGCCCCUCCCCGUGUCCACACCCUGAAGAAUGUUCUGGAAGCCAUUUUCUGAAUGUUUAAGGACUGUGGUAAGUUGCUUCUCCUCUCUUACUAAAUCAGUUAUUUGUAAUUUGUAGCAUCAUGUCAGAAUUUACUUUAUAUUGUUGCUCAAUAUGUAAUGAAGUUAUUUGUGUACGGUUUUGUAUCUGAAAAAUAUGGUAUUCAAAGAGGGCUAAUGUCACCCAGUGAAUGCUAGCUUAAAUGUUAGCCACCUCAGACUUCGUUUUUGUGAGGGUUGUGGGACAAUUUCAAACAAUAUAUGAAAUAGAAUAUUUAAUAUGUAAAUUCUACAUAAUUAUGCUCUGGAGAUCUGGCGGAAAAAUAGUGAGUAACCCUGGUCUAGGCAAGCGUGGGUGGCCAGACCACAAAAUCAUGAGGUUUGUGUGUAAAUAUUUUUGCUUCUACAUUGUUAAUAGCGAAGUUACUAAACAAUCACCUGUUCGAUUACCAGCGUGAAGAUAUGCAGAUAAGAUUACAGGUAUCAUAAAUCAUGUUUCAUUUUAUGUGUUUUUUUAAUUGAGUGUGCAAUUUCAUAUUUGUUGGCCCUUUUUUUGGUAGCCCUAUUUGAAAUUAUAUAUAGGAGUAUCAAGUCAUUAGGUUUUUCUAAUGAUCAUUUUUCUUAUAUGUGUGUAAACAAUAUUUGUUUUGACUGGGCCUUUCAACUUUGGCUGUAUGUUUCGCUUCAAAAUAACUGAUUUGAAACUCAUUUAAAAAAUAUAUCAAAUGACCUGUCAAUUUCUGCUUUUUUCUGUUCCCUAGCAUUUGCCAAAUUCGGUGUCCCAGCUGUAAAUGAAGGUGUCAAAGUUGACAGUUCAGGGACUGAAAUAGAUGAUGAUGUUUUUGAGGAAAUUGUGAAGGAUCCAGCCACUGGGGUACUAACCAUCAAAUACAAAACAGAAUCUGUCUCCAUGGUAACCUCACCAAAGUCAAAAUCAUUCAUUUGUUCAUCGGACUCAGACACAAUCAUCCUUGAAGACACUCCUACCAGAAAGCGUCAGAGGCUGGACUCUGAAGCUAUGCAACUGGUGAAAUCCAUUCUUACCAAGAAAUCGGGUGGAGAAAUAUAUAAUAAAUUAAUACAACCGAACUAAGUCCUUGACAGAACAGAGCAGAAGAAAAUUGGUGAAUAUACUGGCAGCUGAGAUGACUGAGAAGAAUGGUACAUCCCCGUUAAGACAGGUGAAGGAAAUGUAUGCAGAAGGAAUUGUGAACUUGUUACCCAACCUCAGAGACCAAUUUUCCAAGAAUGGCUAUGAACAUUUUUAUGGAGAAUUAAAACUAUUCAGAGAUGCAGUGCUAAAGAAAGGCGAUCAUCAUUUGGAGCUUUGGUGGAAGGACCAUCUGAUGAAGACAAGUCGGGAGGACCAAUUGUUGGACGAGUUACCCAAUUCCAUCCAGAGAUUGUCCUGUCUUGGAAGCGAUGUCACUGAUGAAACAUUCAGCUGGCGUGGACAUAGUCAUCAAAAAGAUGAAGCUGUUUGCCCAUCGGCAAAACAUGGUCCUGGACCAACAGCAGUCAAGCAACAUUCUAUCUUAUUUUCCUCGUUUUAAAGACAUCAAUGGCUUGGUUGAACAGGAUUUUGUUCUAAUGUUUGGAAAGGAUUAAUCGUGCAAGUUUCUGGAGAAGUGGCCAACCACAUUCAAAAAGAAGAUCUUCCAACAAUGCAGAAAGCUUCCCUCCAUCUUUGAGCUUGAGGAACUCCUGAUGGCAGCUGACCCUCCUGAGGAUGGGGCUGAAGUGAACGUUGACUUUGGUUGGGACAGCGACCUCUCAUCGAUUUUGCUGCUCUUACACUUGAUCCCACCGACUGCUCUAGGUCGGAAGAGGCCAGGAGAAGUUUCUGCAUCCCGGGCUGACAAGCAUCUUGUGGUCUUCAAAAAGACUGGAUAAAGCAUCCUAGAACAUUUUGACACCAUCACUCAACCCUAUCUCCUGGCUGUUGGAGUGAGGAUGAAUACAAUCCACGAGUUCUUCAUAAUUCUCGACAAGAAUGUCGUACCUUGCAGGUCUCACUCCUCUCUUGGUGCUUUUGAUUAACUGUUUAAAGCACACUUUGUGUUUGCGACAUCAUACCUCACCAUGCUCCACAACAUGUACACAUUCAUGCCUUACUCCAAACCAUUUGAUGUUCAAAUGGCUUAUGGAACAUCAUGUUCCACAUUGUAUGUUGUCCCAUAUUGCCAUUUCAUGCAGACCUAAGGUCACCCUUUAUGUAUUCUGUCCCUAAAGUUGAUUGUCCUGCC
This is a long non-coding RNA of Nerophis ophidion (straightnose pipefish), 3842 nucleotides long. RefSeq lists it as uncharacterized. The record is from RefSeq and is a predicted model, not a curated record. Lineage: Eukaryota; Metazoa; Chordata; Actinopteri; Syngnathiformes; Syngnathidae. The transcript has 9 exons.